RNAcentral lists this ribosomal RNA (500 nucleotides) under uncultured Glomeromycotina. Its description in RNAcentral is "partial small subunit ribosomal RNA". It matches the Rfam family "Eukaryotic small subunit ribosomal RNA", at positions 591 to 1092 of the family's 1831-position model. The record is from RNAcentral. Lineage: Eukaryota; Fungi; Glomeromycota.
CCAAUAGCGUAUAUUAAAGUUGUUGCAGUUAAAAAGCUCGUAGUUGAAUUUCGGGGUCGGUAGGUUGGUCAUGCCUCAGGUAUGCACUGGUCUCACUGAUUCCUCCUUCCUGAUGAGCCGUAAUGCCAUUAAUUUGGUGUUGCGAGGAAUCUGGACUGUUACUUUGAAAAAAUUAGAGUGUUUAAAGCAAGCUAACGCUUGAAUACAUUAGCAUGGAAUAAUGGAAUAGGACGUUCGAUCCUAUUUUGUUGGUUUCUAGGAUUGACGUAAUGAUUAAUAGGGAUAGUUGGGGGCACUAGUAUUCAAUUGUCAGAGGUGAAAUUCUUGGAUUUAUUGAAGACUAACUACUGCGAAAGCAUUUGCCAAGGAUGUUUUCAUUAAUCAAGAACGAAAGUUAGGGGAUCGAAGACGAUCAGAUACCGUCGUAGUCUUAACCAUAAACUAUGCCGACUAGGGAUCGGAUGAUGUUAAUUUUUUAAUGACUCAUUCGGCGCCUUACG